RNAcentral lists this ribosomal RNA (441 nucleotides) under uncultured bacterium. RNAcentral describes it as "bacterial SSU rRNA". It matches the Rfam family "Bacterial small subunit ribosomal RNA", at positions 338 to 795 of the family's 1533-position model. The record is from RNAcentral.
CCUACGGGAGGCUGCAGUAAGGAAUCUUCCACAAUGGGGGCAACCCUGAUGGAGCAACGCCGCGUGCAGGAUGAAGGUUUUCGGAUCGUAAACUGCUUUUAUAAGUGAAGAAUAUGACGGUAACUUAUGAAUAAGGAUCGGCUAACUACGUGCCAGCAGCCGCGGUCAUACGUAGGAUCCGAGCGUUAUCCGGAGUGACUGGGCGUAAAGAGUUGCGUAGGUGGCUAGUAAAGUGAAUAGUGAAAUCUGGUGGCUCAACCAUCAAUCCAUUAUUCAAACUCACUAGCUCGAGAACAGCAGAGGUAACUGGAAUUUCUGAAGUAGGGGUAAUAUCCGUAGAUAUCAGAAGGAACACCAAUGGCGUAGGCAGGUUACUGGGCUGUUUCUGACACUGAGGCACGAAAGCGUGGGGAGCGAACCGGAUUAGAUACCCCUGUAGUC